GGAUUGUGGCUCAGUGGUAGAGUGCUUGCCUAGCACGUGGGAGGCCCUGGGUUCGAUCUUCAGUACCA
Molecule: transfer RNA, 68 nt
Filed under: Marmota monax (woodchuck)
Lineage: Eukaryota; Metazoa; Chordata; Mammalia; Rodentia; Sciuridae
Description: tRNA.Ala
Source: RNAcentral